RNAcentral lists this ribosomal RNA (693 nucleotides) under Culicoides ovalis. RNAcentral's name for it is "eukaryotic LSU rRNA". It matches the Rfam family "Eukaryotic large subunit ribosomal RNA", at positions 435 to 980 of the family's 3401-position model. The record is from RNAcentral. Lineage: Eukaryota; Metazoa; Arthropoda; Insecta; Diptera; Ceratopogonidae.
UGCCAUGCAUGACUAAAUAUCUGAAUGAGGAAAUUCAGCAUUAUUGUGUCAGAUGAUGGCAUAAUGGUGUGCACUUUUCUUCUAGUAAGACGUUGCGAUCCAUUAGAAAAUUCAACUUAAAUCUGUAUAUAGGCCCGAAUAGGAGUUUAUGCAUUAAGCGAGUAACAUAGCUUUGUUGUUAUGUGAAUGCGUGUAAACUAUUUGGUGUUCUUACAGAUGUCUGAUGGUAUUAUGAAUAAAUGUCGCAUACAAUCUCUAUCGAUUGAUAUCUCUUGUGGAUAUAAUGCGUACAUUAUCAGCAACGUUUUAGAUUUAGGAUACCAUCAGGACCCGUCUUGAAACACGGACCAAGAAGUCUAACUUGUAUGCAAGUCAAUGGGAUUAUUAAAACCUAUAGGCGAAAUGAGAUUAACUUGUUAAUGGGAUUACAAAUGGUAUUAAUUAUACUAUUUUUCCAUCCCCGGGUAUCUUAAUGUAAGUACUGCGGUUUCGGCCGUGUGUACUACAAAGAUAUACCGUGAGCAUACAAGCUGUGACCCGAAAGAUGGUGAACUAUGCCUGAUCAGGUUGAAGUCAGGGGAAACCCUGAUGGAAGACCGUAGCAAUUCUGACGUGCAAAUCGAUUGUCAGAGUUGGGUAUAGGGGCGAAAGACCAAUCGAACCAUCUAGUAGUUUUUUCUCUUUUCGAGAAAA